UUGGAGGGCAAGUCUGGUGCCAGCAGCCGCGGUAAUUCCAGCUCCAAUAGCGUAUAUUAAAGUUGUUGCAGUUAAAAAGCUCGUAGUUGAAUUUCGGGAUCAAUAUAUCGGUCGUGCCUUGGUACGUACUGGUAUCAUUGGUUUCUCCUUUCUGACGAACCAUGAUGUCAUUAAUUUGGUGUUAUGGGAAGUUAGGACUGUUACUUUGAAAAAAUUAGAGUGUUUAAAGCAGGCUUUAGCUUGAAUACAUUAGCAUGGAAUAAUGAAAUAGGACGUUCGAACCUAUUUUGUUGGUUUCUAGGAUCAACGUAAUGAUUAAUAGGGAUAGUAGGGGGCAUUAGUAUUCAAUUGUCAGAGGUGAAAUUCUUGGAUUUAUUGAAGACUAACUACUGCGAAAGCAUUUGCCAAGGAUGUUUUCAUUAAUCAAGAACGAAAGUUAGGGGAUCGAAGACGAUCAGAUACCGUCGUAGUCUUAACCAUGAACUAUGCCGACUAGGGAUCGGAUGAUGUUAAUUUUUUAAUGACUCAUUCGGCGCCUUACGGGAAAC
This 548-nucleotide ribosomal RNA is filed under the name uncultured Glomus. Its description in RNAcentral is "SSU rRNA". It matches the Rfam family "Eukaryotic small subunit ribosomal RNA", at positions 548 to 1098 of the family's 1831-position model. The record is from RNAcentral. Lineage: Eukaryota; Fungi; Glomeromycota; Glomeromycetes; Glomerales; Glomeraceae.